UAAGUACUCCCUCCCUUCCAAAAUUCUUGUCUUAGAUUUGCCUAGAUACGGAUGUAUCUAAUAGUGUACUAAAACGUGACUUGAUACAUCCGUAUUUUGACAAAUCUAAGACAAGAAUUUUGGGACGGAGGGAGUAUAUG
Molecule: non-coding RNA, 140 nt
Organism: Triticum aestivum (bread wheat)
Lineage: Eukaryota; Viridiplantae; Streptophyta; Magnoliopsida; Poales; Poaceae
Source: Rfam